RNAcentral lists this ribosomal RNA (486 nucleotides) under uncultured bacterium. Its description in RNAcentral is "partial 16S ribosomal RNA". It matches the Rfam family "Bacterial small subunit ribosomal RNA", at positions 28 to 507 of the family's 1533-position model. The record is from RNAcentral.
GAUGAACGCUGGCGGCGUGCCUAAUACAUGCAAGUCGAACGCUGGAACUCUAGCUUGCUGGUUUGAAGGAGUGGCGAACGGGUGAGUAAUACAUAAGCAACCUACCCACCAAGUCUGGGAUAAUCUCUGGAAACGGGGACUAAUACCGGAUAGGUACUCGGAAGGCAUCUUCUGAUUAUUAAAGGUUACAAACACUGGUGGAUGGGCUUAUGGCGCAUUAGUUGGUUGGUCAGGUAACGGCCCACCCAGACGAUGAUGCGUAGCCGGCUGGAGGGGGUGAAAGGCCAGAAUGGGACUGCGGCACAGCCCAGACUGCGACGGGAGGCAGCGGUAUGGAAUAUUAGGCGAGGAAGCAUGCCCUAACCGAGCAGCGCGGGGUGAGUGAUGACGGCCUUCGGGUUGUAAAUCUGUGUGGUAAGAAAAGCAGGGUGGAUAGAGACUAUCUAAAUGACGGUACCUAAAGAGAAAGCAACGGCUAACUACGUG